AGAACCUGAAACCGUGUACGUACAAGCAGUGGGAGCACCCUUUUGGGUGUGACUGCGUACCUUUUGUAUAAUGGGUCAGCGACUUAUAUUCUGUAGCAAGGUUAACCGAAUAGGGGAGCCGGAGGGAAACCGAGUCUUAAUUGGGCGUUAAGUUGCAGGGUAUAGACCCGAAACCCGGUGAUCUAGCCAUGGGCAGGUUGAAGGUUGGGUAACACUAACUGGAGGACCGAACCGACUAAUGUUGAAAAAUUAGCGGAUGACCUGUGGCUGGGGGUGAAAGGCCAAUCAAACCGGGAGAUAGCUGGUUCUCCCCGAAAGCUAUUUAGGUAGCGCCUCGUGAAUUCAUCUCCGGGGGUAGAGCACUGUUUCGGCUAGGGGGCCAUCCCGGCUUACCAACCCGAUGCAAACUGCGAAUACCGGAGAAUGUUAUCACGGGAGACACACGGCGGGUGCUAACGUCCGUCGUGAAGAGGGAAACAACCCAGACCGCCAGCUAAGGUCCCAAAGUCAUGGUUAAGUGGGAAACGAUGUGGGAAGGCACAGACAGCCAGGAUGUUGGCUUAGAAGCAGCCAUCAUUUAAAGAAAGCGUAAUAGCUCACUGGUCGAGUCGGCCUGCGCGGAAGAUGUAACGGGGCUAAACCAUGCACCGAAGCUGCGGCAGCGACGUUUAUGCGUUGUUGGGUAGGGGAGCGUUCUGUAAGCCUGCGAAGGUGGCCUGUGAGGGUUGCUGGAGGUAUCAGAAGUGCGAAUGCUGACAUAAGUAACGAUAAAGCGGGUGAAAAGCCCGCUCGCCGGAAGACCAAGGGUUCCUGUCCAACGUUAAUCGGGGCAGGGUGAGUCGACCCCUAAGGCGAGGCCGAAAGGCGUAGUCGAUGGGAAACGGGUUAAUAUUCCCGUACUUGGUGUUACUGCGAAGGGGGGACGGAGAAGGCUAUGUUGGCCGGGCGACGGUUGUCCCGGUUUAAGCGUGUAGGCUGGUUUUCCAGGCAAAUCCGGAAAAUCAAGGCUGAGGCGUGACGACGAGGCACUACGGUGCUGAAGCAACAAAUGCCCUGCUUCCAGGAAAAGCCUCUAAGCAUCAGGUAACAUCAAAUCGUACCCCAAACCGACACAGGUGGUCAGGUAGAGAAUACCAAGGCGCUUGAGAGAACUCGGGUGAAGGAACUAGGCAAAAUGGUGCCGUAACU
This 1188-nucleotide ribosomal RNA is filed under the name Salmonella enterica subsp. enterica serovar Bareilly. RNAcentral's name for it is "partial 23S ribosomal RNA". It matches the Rfam family "Bacterial large subunit ribosomal RNA", at positions 545 to 1735 of the family's 2925-position model. The record is from RNAcentral. Lineage: Bacteria; Pseudomonadati; Pseudomonadota; Gammaproteobacteria; Enterobacterales; Enterobacteriaceae.